GACGAACGCUGGCGGCGUGCUUAACACAUGCAAGUCGAACGGAAAGGCCCUGCUUUUGUGGGGUGCUCGAGUGGCGAACGGGUGAGUAACACGUGAGUAACCUGCCCUUGACUUUGGGAUAACUUCAGGAAACUGGGGCUAAUACCGGAUAGGAGCUCCUGCUGCAUGGUGGGGGUUGGAAAGUUUCGGCGGUUGGGGAUGGACUCGCGGCUUAUCAGCUUGUUGGUGGGGUAGUGGCUUACCAAGGCUUUGACGGGUAGCCGGCCUGAGAGGGUGACCGGCGACAUUGGGACUGAGAUACGGCGCAGACGCCUACGGGAGGCAGCAGUGGGGAAUAUUGCACAAUGGGCGGAAGCCUGAUGCAGCAACGCCGCGUGCGGGAUAACGGCCUUCGGGUUGUAAACCGCUUUCGCCUGUGACGAAGCGUGAGUGACGGUAAUGGGUAAAGAAGCACCGGCUAACUACGUG
RNAcentral lists this ribosomal RNA (468 nucleotides) under uncultured bacterium. RNAcentral describes it as "partial 16S ribosomal RNA". It matches the Rfam family "Bacterial small subunit ribosomal RNA", at positions 28 to 507 of the family's 1533-position model. The record is from RNAcentral.